GCUUUGCUUGAUAGGAAUAUUUUAUUGAGCGAGAAACCAACUGUUCCCACUGAGGGAGACUUCAGUCCGAAAACUAGUAUGAAGCUCAGAGGCUUGACAGUCCAGAACGGUUUAUAAAGUGGAAGAGGAAGUUGUUUAAUCUUUACAAUGAUUGGUUAUUACGAGGGGAUUUCCAGACGGCAGGGGAAUGGUUUAAACGUGAUUAUCUUAUACCAUUUUAGGAAGAUGAUUUGUUUCUUUGAUUUUCAAAGAAUACGGAAAUCAUUUAUGAGAAAUAAGCUGUUAGGUUUCCCUUACAUUUUGAAAUGACCUAAUUUAGUUUUGCUGACGUGGCUUAAGUGGUUUUGCCGGCUAGGAGGAUAUUCAAGCCUGGUCUACAAUUUAUUUUAUUUUAACUCCUGGAAAUGCGAUCUCUCUCGGUGUGAGCACCGCUCAACUCUCAGCCCCUUCGUGUCGUUGCCGUUUUGACUGUUGCGGCGAUAAGCACCUGGCCGGCGUUUUCUCGGACGUACCGUCUCCUGGAGCCGAGCUGGCGGCGGGCUGGAGCUGGCCUCCCCGCUCCCCUCAGUCUGUGGCUGCCACCAAGGCUGCUGGGUGGAGCCGCUUUCCAUUAUGCAAGUUCCCCUUUAGCUGUGCUUCUGUUUUCACUCGCCUACAAGUCCAGGUGUCCGGUGUGUGCGAUUUCAGGCGUAGCAGCAAACAGCGGUUUAGCGGUGACCGUCAUUUCUUAGUCCUAGAAGUCCCGAUUUAGGGUAGCGACAGGCGCUGCUUGAGGCGUGACCGGGAAAAUCCUGGGACCCCGCUGUUCAACGGUGUUCACUGUUUCUUCUUUGUAGAGCUGCUUUCUCUGAAUGGUUUACAUUUUAAGUUUCUUUCACUGUAUUUUGUUCUGGGAUCGAUAUGUUUGGUUUGUUUUCUUUUGGGGUGUACUUGCAUUUUAGAAUUUGUUGUUUAAUUUAUCUUAAUUUACGUUCUACUAGUUUUUCUACUGAGGUUCCCGUGUGCGGCGUCCGCACGGGAUGCAUGCCGUGGGACCGGCGUGCGUCCGGGAGCGGAGGAGCGGAGCAGCGCAGCCCCGGCUCAACCCGCUAGUAAGCGGAUCAGUGGUUUGUCCUGGGCGUCAUCGCUCCUUGCGCCCCGCCUGCGAUUUCUCGUCAGCACUUUCGCCAGCAGCGGCGAGGCCGCCGUUUCUUGGUGCUGGCACCGCUGCUGGUGUCAGAGAACGUUUCUCGCUCGCAGGGCCCUCAGGCCAUCUGUGAUGUCAUCUUCUUAUUGUUAGCAUCGCCCGCUUCCCUGGCCGGCCUUUUCAGGCUCGCAGCACCAUGAUUUGCACAGAUGUGACAUUGUCAGCAUUUUCUCUAGUAGCGCUGGGCCUGGGUUUUUCUGUCACAACGCGGAUUUGCACCGUGUGGGGGUUUUCUGGGUGGCAGCACCUUUCUUUCCUCAACGCUGAUGUUUCUAGGUUGCUCACUGCUAGUUCUCAGAGUUUCUUGGUGACUUUCCAAGGCGCCUUAACUCUCUAAUGAAAACGGAAGUUGACCUAGAGGAGACAUCGUUUCCGGGGCUGGUAUGGGGCAUUGAGUCAGAAGAAUGUCCAGGAAAGUAUAAAUGCUCAGUAAAUAUUUUACGUGAUCCAGUUCCCCAGAAACUGUAUUUGAGAGUGAGGAGAAUGGCCAAAGAAAAGCAAAGAUUUGAAGCAUGAGAGGGGUUGACUCAAGAAUUUCCCAUGAGAGCAAAGUUCUCUGUUGCAGGCCUUGAAGAUUAACAGGACCUCUUAACAAAGGAACAGUAGGUGGCCUUUGGGAGCUGAGAACAACCUUAGGCUGACAACCAGUAAGAAAAUGGCGCCCUCUGUCCAAAACCACAAAGAACUUUUUCCUGCCAACCACCUGAAUGAGCUUGGAAGACAACCCUGGCUGCAGAUGAGAAUGUAGCUGGCCAAUCCCUUAUUAUAAACUCUGUAGACUUCUGACCUGAAGGACCUGGUUGCCCUGUGCCCUGAAUUCUUAUCUACAGAAUUGUGAACCAAUAAAUGUGUCCUGU
Molecule: long non-coding RNA, 2043 nt
Filed under: Equus caballus (horse)
Lineage: Eukaryota; Metazoa; Chordata; Mammalia; Perissodactyla; Equidae
Description: lncRNA (ENSECAG00000058345.1)
Source: RNAcentral